CCUACGGGAGGCAGCAGUGAGGAAUAUUGGUCAAUGGACGGAAGUCUGAACCAGCCACGCCGCGUGCAGGAUGACGGCCCUAUGAGUUGUAAACUGCUUUUGUACGAGAAUAAUAGUUCUUACGUGUAGGGGUUUGAAUGUAUCGUACGAAUAAGGAUCGGCUAACUCCGUGCCAGCAGCAGCGGUAAUACGGAGGAUUCGAGCGUUAUCCGGAUUUAUUGGGUUUAACGGGUGCGUAGGCUGUGGGAUAAGUUAGAGGUCAAAGGUCGGGGCUUAACCCCGUGCCUGCCUCUGAUACUGUUCGACUAGAGAGCGGAUGCAGCAGGCGGAAUGAGUAGUGUAGCGGUGAAAUGCUUAGAUAUUACUCAGAACACCGAUUGCGCAGGCAGCUUGCUAAUCCGCAUCUGACGCUGAUGCACGAAAGCGUGGGUAGCGAACAGGAUUAGAUACCCGGGUAGUC
RNAcentral lists this ribosomal RNA (460 nucleotides) under uncultured bacterium. Its description in RNAcentral is "partial 16S ribosomal RNA". It matches the Rfam family "Bacterial small subunit ribosomal RNA", at positions 338 to 795 of the family's 1533-position model. The record is from RNAcentral.